This 658-nucleotide long non-coding RNA is filed under the name Triticum aestivum (bread wheat). RNAcentral describes it as "long non-coding RNA (TAES_LNC021131)". The record is from RNAcentral. Lineage: Eukaryota; Viridiplantae; Streptophyta; Magnoliopsida; Poales; Poaceae.
CUGAAUUGACAAGUUGAAAGAAUCUGGUCUUUUUGUGCUUGCCUACAAAACUGUCAGAUCUUAUAUUUGUUCGCCAAACAAAAACGACUGAUGGUUGAUUGUCUCAACCAUGAACGAGCAUUUCUGGAUUGUAGAACAAAGAGGUGCUUUAUUUUCCUUUUCUAUUAUCUACAUGUUUGUCUGUACAUUUGCACUUUUCCUCGAGCGUAUUGGUUUCUAAUACCAUUUUUAAGCCCCGUGGAACCUUCGACCAGUAAAAAAAUGUUCGAAGAAACUUGCUCUGAGCUCUGUGUGAUCAGGUUUAUGUGUUUCUAUUGUACAGUGUCCCGGGCAAAAGGAUCAAGUGUUGGCAGGUGGGCAUCGGGAGUCCAGGUGGUUGGCUUCAGCCUUUGAGGUGCUGCCGGCUAGCGGCGCCGCUUUUGAGCGUCUCCUCAUCUCACUCCCGUGGCACCUUCGACUGGUAAGAUUUCCCCUUCUCUCUCUCUGACUGUCCGAUCGAUUUUUGUUUAUUAAUCUUUCUUAUCCAUAAUGAUUAUCCCUCUUUGUUGUCUGCAGGUGGUCAUGCUGGUUUUCUCUUCCGGUUGAUUGUUAGCCCCCUACAAGAGUUGUCACAAUAUGAAAAGGCUCCAAAAGGUGUCACAGUCAGGAAUCUUUUUUC